RNAcentral lists this ribosomal RNA (41 nucleotides) under Hirsutella thompsonii. RNAcentral's name for it is "partial 28S ribosomal RNA". Lineage: Eukaryota; Fungi; Ascomycota; Sordariomycetes; Hypocreales; Ophiocordycipitaceae. The record is from RNAcentral.
AGUUGACCUCGGAUCAGGUAGGGAUACCCGCUGAACUUGAA